CACGGUCUUAACAGUGAAUUCUCCUUUCAUAAUUGUUGUGACAAAUGAAAUUGUUUCAAUAAUUGUUGUGAAAAAAGUGAUAUUGAUUUUGUCAUUAGGUGGUAGUGACAAAAUUCGCAAUAAUUAAUUAUUUGCCAAUCCAAUAUUUCCCACAGACGCAUAAACAUCCUGUUGAUAAUGUUGAAUAAAAAAUGACAGAAGCAAUGAGCAUCGUGUUGUUCGAUAAUAAUUAUCUAGAUUUUCUAUUAAACGAAUUUCAAGCGAUUCACGAUCGAUAUUAGGACAAAGUAAUUCGACCAACUUGGACGCUGAUAAGAUUCGAGGAACGCCAGGCACGCUAGAAAGCGAGUGUGUCGCGAUCGUGACGAUGACGGUGGAGAAUCACCAGGUUAGAGCUUCGAAACCGGAUCAUUAUCUUCCACUGAUGGCAUGCUCACUUUCUCAUGCAUCCUCGAGUGGGAUUAAUUAACAUCUCAGAUAAACAUCUGAAAGAGAAACCGAGGUCAGUUCGAGCUGUCUUUCGAUUUUCGAAACGUCUAUUUCCAAUAUGAUUCUCGUUCUAUGCGUCAAAUACACGCGUGAUCGCCGCACAUUGCGAAAAUAAACUCUCGAUAUCGUGGAAUCGUAUCGUUGCUCGAUCGAUUAUCCAAUUCCACUCGAUGUCGAAAACAACAUACGAUAGAAUAAUGUUCGAACAAUACUCGCUGAUCGAAAUUUAUCAGAAUUCUGUCUAUAUCUAUUCUUUGUGCUCGAGGAACAAUGAAGUGGCGAUAAUGGACACCGAUUAUAGAGAUUCCAAAUUCAUUGAUAAAGGAAUACUGGGGCAAAGAUGAUAAAGAAUAGUUAUAAGAUAUAGUAUGCUCUUAAAAUUCAUCGUACUUACGAUAUAACACGUCAUGAAAUUCCAAAUUUAAAAUAUUCCUUCGGAAAUGUCAGGUUUAAACACAACCCUCUCCAAUAUCCGUACGAUUAAAGAUAACAAGUAUAUGUCGGUUAAAAAAUAUUUAGAAAUAUAUGAAUGGAUUAAUGUCUUCCAAGAAGACGAUAUUAUACUCAGGGCCGGAGCAAAGCAGAAUGACGAUACCUUUAACAGAUGCAAGACAUUUUUGCAGUAGCGAUGAAAAUCAUGAAAAUUCAGUGUCGUCAUAUCCUGGAAACUACUUUAGAUAAAAAAAAAUCCAGGCGCUUUCAGAGAAGUGUACUUUUUAGAGAAAUUAAGCUACAUCAAUAGUUUUUUGCAAAAAGCAUACAUGAUUGCAGAUUUUCUACUUUCAUUGAAUUUUUUCCCCCUUGAAAGCGAAUUAUGCAUGCGAAAAAAUAUUACUUGGAUUUGUUUAAAAAUGCUGCUUAUAAAAAGUAUAUAAUCUGUAGCAUCAUUUCAACUUGGAUUAAUUCAUCCUGAAUCAAGCCAGAUAUACCUAUCAUUCUUUGAAAAGAAUGAUCGCAAGAUAAUUCUAUUAUACUGUGCGAUUGCCGUGGAAAAUGGAUUGCCAUUGUUUGAAGCCUAACAUGAAUACAACAAUAUGAUUCAUAUCAUAUUCGAUGCAGACAAACAAAGGUUAACAACAUGCUUCUGGAAAACAUCAGAUUUGGCAUACAACAAGCUCGCACCAAUGUCAGGUAAGCGCCAUCAAACCAAUUCCAAGUUGUCAUUCAAAUUUUCAUUGUAGAUCUUUGUAAGCAUCAACGCAUAUCACGUCAGCCUGCGCUCCAAAGAAAGAAUCAAAAACAAACAAUGAGAAGACGGCUGUGAUUCGAUUCUUAUAGCAGCGUGUAUCAUUGGCAUAUACAGUUGGACCGAGUUCAGGUAUCUUCGCGUUAUCUCGGAUGCGGGUCUAGGCUGGGUAUAUCGGUGGAACGCGUCCCGGUAUCGGCGAUCCCGUUGCCGACUGCGCUGGCUAGUUAGAAGAAAGGGAUCCGUGAAAAGGAAGAACGGACUGAAUGACACGGUCACCGAAAAUGACAGGUACACGACUUGGAAGAGCCGUGGACGUGGGACCGAUAUCGCAACCGCAUCUGACACAAACCUUGGUCAGCCAACUCCGUCUCGUCUUCUUUCUCCGUCCUUUUCUUCUUCCUCUCGUUCUCUCUCGUGUCUGCCUGCCAAUAUGCCUACCUGUCAACACACGCUGCAUUCAAUUAACUCGGGGACCAGUUUCACGCCUGUGUAAUGACGCGGAAAUCAAACUUUGCCCACCCCCGUGCCCCUCACCGACCCUCAAGACGGACGCGAUCCUGUAGGACGCCAGGGAACGACGACCUCGAUCUCGUGAGCAGCUCUCGUUCUGACAGCCACGGGAACAUCCUUGAAUCGGGCCCGGUGCGUAUCUAGCGGUUGAAAGGAAGAGAAUUUGAGGAAAAGAGAGUUGGAAAAUUAUUUGAAGAACAGAGAGGAUUUAGUCGGAGGAAAACCCAAUUUACAUUGUGAAAUUUCUAGCAAAAGAAGUUUAGGAUUAUUUGAAGAAGGAAAGAAGAUUAUUUGGAAAAAAAACUAAUCACCACAUGUGAUAAGUAUGUUGCAAAUAUUCUUGCAAAAACUCCUAUUUUUGUGAAUUCAUGACACCUACAAGGAAAUUGUUUUAUCCGCUAGAUAUUGUACCUACGUAACGAGUUUUGUACUGUGGAUAUUCUACAUACGUUUGUAUACUACGUACAUUCUGUACAUUCUUGCACCUUCAAAUUUGCCUUAAAUGCAGAACAAUCGGCAGUCUGGUGAUGGAUCUGUAAACCAAGGUCACUGUAAGGUUACCAAAAUUGUUUCGUCGUUGGUCUUGGCGUUUGUACAUAAGAAUUUCAUAUGAUUAAUAAACUUAAUAGAAUGAGGCAGUGACAAGGCUGAAAUAGAAAAGUAAACAACUCGAGGAAGUCUAAUCUUGCAAUCUAUGCGGCAACCGCGAGCAACACGAAAUCAGCAGAUCAGCGACGAUUACAAGAGGAUAGAGAUAGCGUUAUCUCUUAUCUACAAGCAGUCCGGGAUCUCAGCAUCCGCUAUCUAUCGAUGGAAUUAAGAAAGCUUAACCUGGCUAGAUUAAAUUAAAAUCGGACUUUAUCAGGGCCACUGCGCAUUUCCUCUUAUCUCGACGAUGACCGAUAAUGCGUUUACACCUUAUGAGAAUCCGCGAUCUCUAAUAGGACAUUGGUAUCUUAGACCGAUAGAUCGAUAGAUCGAUAAGCUUGUUGCUUUUAUUUAGAAACUUUUUCAUUUUUACAUUCCCUGUAUAUUGUUUCAUAAUUUGGCAAACUGUUCUGGGUAUAUUAAGUAUAUUUGUGUAAUUAUAAUUAGGUAUAUUAUAUAUUGUAUAUUUAAUUAUUAGACUAUUGUAUUAAGUCGUUCGAAAAGCUUCUUUCGUUUUUUAACUUUAAUUUAAUUUUAUAUUAUUUUAUCGAAUUACGUAUGAUCCAUUUUGCUCUAUCAAAGAUUUAGGUUUCAGAUUAGGUUUCAUGUUUGUAUAAAGACGCGUCGUUGUAAAAGACGUGUCUGUAAAGGAAACACACUUUUCGCACAACCUAAUAUUAUAAUUAUUGAACCGUGCGCGUUUCUGCACUUACAGAAAAUUUAAGUACGUACAUAAUACACAAAAUAUAGAAAAACAUGUUAAAUAUUCAAAAGUAUUCGUUACGAUACUUGGUAGAUGAGACAAAUCUCUGCUUAUAUUCCAUUUUUUGAAAUCAUGUUGAAAAAUUUCCAUAAAACACGGCAAUAAGUUCAAUUAAGCACAUUUGAAGAAAGAAAAUGAAUUUCUAUAAAAUAUGUUGUAUAAAAUAGUUUCUAAUAAUUUCUAUAAGAGUUAAAAGAUUUACCAUCUUUUGUAUACUUUGGAAUAUUUAAAAAAUAAAUUAUGAUCAUCGUCAACACAUCUUUAAAAUAAACAUGAUAGAAAGAAAAAAGACAUUGACACGAAAAAUAGAUUAAAAUGUAAGUACAAACAACGGUACUGAAAAUUGAACAGGAAGAGCGAGUUGCUGUGUUCGAGGCUUGUUUACGGGCGAAUGAAAAUUACACGACGGUACCAGCCACCCCUUGGUUCGACGCGUCCAUUCAUUAACACUUCAUAUCCCGUUGCGACGUGCUGGUAACGAGCCUGUCAUAAUUACCGCGCUAACUUUAUUACUGCGGAUACACGCUCUCCUUGCCCGGGCUAUGAUACUCGUGCGUCAUAGGGCAAAUCGAGCGCGCACCCUUCGUUCCACAAGGAAACACGAGCCCCCCGCGGCUCUGAAUUUAGAACUCUCAACAUAUUAAGCGCUGUUUGUGUUUCCUAUAAAAGUUCAGACAUAUACCACUUUUUGUGUACUUUGGAACAUUUAAAAAAUAAAUCAUAACCAUAUCUUGAUGAUAGCUUUAACACCAG
Molecule: long non-coding RNA, 4352 nt
Organism: Bombus huntii
Lineage: Eukaryota; Metazoa; Arthropoda; Insecta; Hymenoptera; Apidae
Exons: 5
Source: RefSeq, a predicted model, not a curated record